CGGUUAAAAAGCUCGUAGUUGGAUUUCUGUCUGGGAUGGUCGGUCCGCACUUUGUGCGUGCAUCUGAUGCGUCCUCGGCAUCCUUCUGAAGGACAUUGUACUUUAUUGUAUGAUGGAUUUCAGAACUUUUACUUUGAGGAAAUUAGAGUGUUCACAGCAAGCAAGCGCUUUGAAUACAUUAGCAUGGAAUAAUAAUAUGGGACCUUCAGUACUAUUUUGUUGGUUUCUAGAGCUGAGGUAAUGAUUAAUAGGGACAGUUGGGGGCAUUCGUAUUAACGCGUCAGAGGUGGAAUUCUUGGAUUGCGUUACGACGAACUACUGCGAAAGCAUUUGCCAAGGAUGUUUUCAUUGAUCAAGAACGAAAGUAUGGGGAUCGAAGACGAUUAGAUACCGUCGUAGUCUAUACCAUAAGCUAUGCCGACUAGAGAUUGGAGGUCGUUUUUUUAUGACUCCUUCAGCACCUUAUGAGAAAUCAAAGUCUUUGGGUUCCGGGGGGAGUAUGGUCGCAAGGCUGAAACUUAAAGGAAUUGACGGAAGGGCACCACCAGGAGUGGAGCCUGCGGCUUAAUUUGACUCAACACGGGAAAACUUACCAGGUCCAGACAUAGUAAGGAUUGACAGAUUGAUAGCUCUU
Molecule: ribosomal RNA, 634 nt
Filed under: uncultured marine eukaryote
Lineage: Eukaryota
Description: SSU rRNA
Rfam family: Eukaryotic small subunit ribosomal RNA
Source: RNAcentral